AGAAACUAGUCCUGCGCUCAAACUCCCAUUACUCCUGGGCGGCAGCAAUGACCAUAGGAGUCAUGGGAGUUUGAGCGCAGGACUAGUUUCUUUGUAUU
Non-coding RNA from Pelobates cultripes (western spadefoot toad), 98 nucleotides. Lineage: Eukaryota; Metazoa; Chordata; Amphibia; Anura; Pelobatidae. The record is from the annotation of a GenBank genome assembly.